GUUUCCACCCCAGAGCAGCUCGCCUAGAGAACUGAAAGCAUACCCUACACAAAACCAUGUACUCGGGUGCUCAUAGCAGCAUUGUACAGAUAAGUGGGAGAAGACGUCCGAGAUUCCUCUUAGCCGACACCGGAAAGAGGCCUUUGUCCUUGUAACAGAGUGAGAUCAGAUCAUUAACUCUCAAGACAGAGAAUGAAUGUGCAGCUACUGGGAGAAAUACGGCUUUCAAACUAUGGGGAUGGGGGUUCAGAAUGACUCUUCAUGCAAUUAAAUGUGAUUGAGUCUUCAAGCUCCAGGUCAGAGCCCAUCUUGUAUGGAGUUUGAAGGAAUCAUGUUAAGUGAGAUAAGACAGAAACAGAAGGAUGAAUAUGGGAUGAUCUCACUUACAGACAGAAAUUGAAAAACAAGAUCAGAAGAGAAAACACUAAGCGGAACUUGAACUGGAGUUGAUGUAUUGCACCAAAGUAAAAGCCUCUGGGGU
Molecule: long non-coding RNA, 481 nt
Organism: Erinaceus europaeus (western European hedgehog)
Lineage: Eukaryota; Metazoa; Chordata; Mammalia; Eulipotyphla; Erinaceidae
Exons: 3
Source: RefSeq, a predicted model, not a curated record